UGGUUAUUAUUAUAGCAGAGAAGACAGCAGUAAAUCAACAAAGACAAGUCAACUGUGCGCCGAUCUACCACUCAAGAGAUCUGACGGACUCAAAAAAAUUCACACCUGCAUAUGUGGCAGCAGACUGUUGGAGGGACUGCAACUGACCACGAUUGCAAUUGUAUUUGGACGCUACAACUCCCAAAGUUUUCCUCCGACUGAGCGAGCCAGGAAACUCUCCUGGACGCCUACCAACUCAGCUACUCUCUUCAUCGAUGAGGACAGCUGUUCCCAC
Corythoichthys intestinalis (scribbled pipefish) is the source of this 274-nucleotide long non-coding RNA. RefSeq lists it as uncharacterized. The transcript is spliced from 3 exons. Lineage: Eukaryota; Metazoa; Chordata; Actinopteri; Syngnathiformes; Syngnathidae. The record is from RefSeq and is a predicted model, not a curated record.